RNAcentral lists this ribosomal RNA (253 nucleotides) under uncultured bacterium. RNAcentral's name for it is "partial 16S ribosomal RNA". It matches the Rfam family "Bacterial small subunit ribosomal RNA", at positions 524 to 776 of the family's 1533-position model. The record is from RNAcentral.
UACGUAGGGGGCAAGCGUUAUCCGGAUCUACUGGGUGUAAAGGGAGCGUAGACGGCGGCGCAAGCCAGAUGUGAAAGCCCGGGGCUCAACCCCGGGACUGCAUUUGGAACUGUGCUGCUAGAGUGUCGGAGAGGCAGGCGGAAUUCCUAGUGUAGCGGUGAAAUGCGUAGAUAUUAGGAGGAACACCAGUGGCGAAGGCGGCCUGCUGGACGAUGACUGACGUUGAGGCUCGAAAGCGUGGGGAGCAAACAGG